Molecule: RNase P RNA, 347 nt
Filed under: Candidatus Nomurabacteria bacterium RIFCSPHIGHO2_02_FULL_38_15
Lineage: Bacteria; Candidatus Nomuraibacteriota
Description: RNase P RNA component class A
Rfam family: Bacterial RNase P class A
About the family: Ribonuclease P (RNase P) is a ubiquitous endoribonuclease, found in archaea, bacteria and eukarya as well as chloroplasts and mitochondria. Its best characterised activity is the generation of mature 5'-ends of tRNAs by cleaving the 5'-leader elements of precursor-tRNAs.
Source: RNAcentral
GUUUUGUAUCGAAUGGUUACGCCCUGAUAUUUACGAAAGUAAUUGAUGGGUGAGGAAAGUCCGAACACACAGUUAUUUAAUUAGCAAAAGUAGCGGGUAACGCCCGUCGUCCGCAAGGGCAGAGGUGCGAGCAGAGACGCCUGAAGCGAAAGUAACAGGCACCCAAAAAGCAAUUUUUGGGUGAGUCAUUAUGGUAACAUAGUGGGUGAAACGGCUAAAUCCUUACUCGUGUGCAAGAUCGUAUUCUUUGGCUUCGGUCAAAGUUUGAAUCGCUACAGGUAUAUAGCAAUAUAUAUCGCAGAUAAAUACCAUUAGAACAGAAUUCGGCUUACGAAUGCAAAACCAAA